CGGUGAAGCCCAGCUUGCUGGGUGGAUCAGUGGCGAACGGGUGAGUAACACGUGAGCAACCUGCCCUCCACUUCGGGAUAAGCCUUGGAAACGGGGUCUAAUACCGGAUAUGAGCUCGCAUCGCAUGGUGUGGGUUGGAAAGUUUUUCGGUGGGGGAUGGGCUCGCGGCCUAUCAGCUUGUUGGUGGGGUGAUGGCCUACCAAGGCGUCGACGGGUAGCCGGCCUGAGAGGGCGACCGGCCACACUGGGACUGAGACACGGCCCAGACUCCUACGGGAGGCAGCAGUGGGGAAUAUUGCACAAUGGGCGCAAGCCUGAUGCAGCGACGCCGCGUGAGGGAUGACGGCCUUCGGGUUGUAAACCUCUUUCAGCAGGGAAGAAGCGCAAGUGACGGUACCUGCAGAAGAAGCGCCGGCUAACUACGUGCCAGCAGCCGCGGUAAUACGUAGGGCGCAAGCGUUGUCCGGAAUUAUUGGGCGUAAAGAGCUCGUAGGCGGUCUGUCGCGUCUGGUGUGAAAUCCCGAGGCUCAACCUCGGGCUUGCAUCGGGUACGGGCAGACUAGAGUGCGGUAGGGGAGACUGGAAUUCCUGGUGUAGCGGUGGAAUGCGCAGAUAUCAGGAGGAACACCGAUGGCGAAGGCAGGUCUCUGGGCCGCAACUGACGCUGAGGAGCGAAAGCAUGGGGAGCGAACAGGAUUAGAUACCCUGGUAGUCCAUGCCGUAAACGUUGGGCACUAGGUGUGGGGCUCAUUCCACGAGUUCCGUGCCGCAGCUAACGCAUUAAGUGCCCCGCCUGGGGAGUACGGCCGCAAGGCUAAAACUCAAAGGAAUUGACGGGGGCCCGCACAAGCGGCGGAGCAUGCGGAUUAAUUCGAUGCAACGCGAAGAACCUUACCAAGGCUUGACAUGUACGAGAAAGCCCCCGAGACGGGGUUCUCUUUGGACACUCGUACACAGGUGGUGCAUGGUUGUCGUCAGCUCGUGUCGUGAGAUGUUGGGUUAAGUCCCGCAACGAGCGCGACCCUCGUCCUAUGUUGCCAGCGGGUUAUGCCGGGGACUCAUGGGAGACUGCCGGGGUCAACUCGGAGGAAGGUGGGGAUGACGUCAAAUCAUCAUGCCCCUUAUGUCUUGGGCUUCACGCAUGCUACAAUGGCCGGUACAGAGGGCUGCGAUACCGUAAGGUGGAGCGAAUCCCAAAAAGCCGGUCUCAGUUCGGAUUGGGGUCUGCAACUCGACCCCAUGAAGUCGGAG
This 1251-nucleotide ribosomal RNA is filed under the name uncultured bacterium. RNAcentral's name for it is "bacterial SSU rRNA". It matches the Rfam family "Bacterial small subunit ribosomal RNA", at positions 67 to 1331 of the family's 1533-position model. The record is from RNAcentral.